CUGGGUUUUAACCCCAAAAAUAUUUUUCUCCCAAAAUUUCUGCCUCCCACCUCUCUUCGCGGCGAAACCCUCCAUUGUCGUUCUACUCGUUGCCAUGGAAAGGGGGUGUGAACGGCCACGAUCUGGCUGCACGAGUGACGAUCUGGCUGCGUCAGUGACGAUCUGGCAGUACGGAGCAAGGGUCCAAAGACCAUUUACGACAAUGAGCGGGAGUGACGAUUCACGGCUACGAGCGACAAACCGACGGUAGGGUUAUUGGAAAUAAAGCUACGAUUCUUCCAUUCUUGAACACCAAAGCCUCCUCCUCCCCAGCUUGGCCUGGACGAGCUGUCCUGAAGCCAGGACGUAAGAAAUGGGAAGKCCAGAAGCCUAUCUCCAUUGCAUUGGUUCCAUUGGAACUCAGAUAUGUGGUUGCCAACUACUUGUGUAAGACAAAACUAUUUUCCAACCUAUGUGUUAUUGUUGCUCGUGCCUGCAUAAUUGAGUGUGCACUCUCUUAUUAAGUUAUUUUGUCUUAAAUCUCAGCUUCUCAUUGGGGGUGAUUUCUGUACAAAUAAUAUUCUGUACAAUUGUGGAUUGUUCUUUGGUUGGAAUUUUGUAGUUUAAAAUUAUUCUGACGUUGAGGUUUUAUUUAACAUUGUGUUUGAGAUUUUAUSAGAGUUGUUUUUCUAACCCAACUCUUAGUCAAAAUCUCUUAUCUUACUAAAACUUCAUUUAUUUGAUUCAGUAAAUAAUCCAUCCUAUAGCUGAAUCAAUGCAAGAUACUUUCUACUUUUUUGGGGCCCAGUGUUGGACAUCAGGGAGUAGUAUAUUGGAAACCUCCAAAGCAGGCACUGAGUGAAGUAACAGAACUUGUUUGGGAGCCUUCAAAUCGAUGGUUGUGAGGCUGAUGAAGGUAUUUUGAGCUGAGAGAGGCAAUGACGGGAAAGGUAUAUACAUUUUUAUUAAAUUUAAUAAAUUUGAGUACCUUGUUGGUUCUAACUUUCCAGUUUUCUAUGAUUCAGAGACUUCUCUCUUACCUUUUUGGUAAGUUUAAAUUUCACUUUAUACUUUAGUUCAAGGAGCGAAUGUUUAAAUGUAUACCAUUGUAUUUACAGGUUGAAGAAUGUAGUUUAUAGUAUUUUGGAUAUAAUUCUAAAUUCUCAUUGUCUCAGAUUCAUAACUUCGGGAGCUCACCAUUUUUUCUAUGUCAUGUUGUAGGUAGCGCAAUAUUUCCAUGGAUUGUAACACUACAAGCCUUAGAGUCUUUCAUAUGUGAUGCUCCAAAGCAAGUACAAUUUAUAUGUUUCCUUAGUUGUAUAGUUUUCAUUACUUUGGCUAAUUAGUUUUUAAUAUGUGAUACUCCAAAGUAAGUUGAUAUUUUUAUUUUGUUCAUGUUA
Non-coding RNA from Momordica charantia (bitter melon), 1379 nucleotides. NCBI's taxonomy places the organism in Eukaryota, Viridiplantae, Streptophyta, Magnoliopsida, Cucurbitales, Cucurbitaceae. The record is from RefSeq and is a predicted model, not a curated record.